ACGAACGCUGGCGGCGUGCUUAACACAUGCAAGUCGAACGGAAAGGCCCUGCUUGCCGGGUACUCGAGUGGCGAACGGGUGAGUAACACGUGGGUGAUCUGCCCUGCACUUCGGGAUAAGCUUGGGAAACUGGGUCUAAUACCGGAUAGGAGCCAUCUUUAGUGUGGUGGUUGGAAAGUUUUUUCGGUGUAGGAUGAGCUCGCGGCCUAUCAGCUUGUUGGUGGGGUAAUGGCCUACCAAGGCGGCGACGGGUAGCCGGCCUGAGAGGGUGUACGGCCACAUUGGGACUGAGAUACGGCCCAGACUCCUACGGGAGGCAGCAGUGGGGAAUAUUGCACAAUGGGCGCAAGCCUGAUGCAGCGACGCCGCGUGGGGGAUGAAGGCCUUCGGGUUGUAAACUCCUUUCGCUAGGGACGAAGCUUUUUUGUGACGGUACCUAGAUAAGAAGCACCGGCUAACUACGUG
Molecule: ribosomal RNA, 465 nt
Filed under: uncultured bacterium
Lineage: Bacteria
Description: partial 16S ribosomal RNA
Rfam family: Bacterial small subunit ribosomal RNA
Source: RNAcentral